This 908-nucleotide unclassified non-coding RNA is filed under the name Hevea brasiliensis (rubber tree). Lineage: Eukaryota; Viridiplantae; Streptophyta; Magnoliopsida; Malpighiales; Euphorbiaceae. The record is from RNAcentral.
AAAAAAAGAGAGUACAGAGUCAUCAGAUUGACAUUCAUCCCUACGCCGUAUUCUAAUAUAUAUCAAUGGACAACGAUUUCGAGCAUGAGUGGCAGAAGAUACAAUACUACCAGACUACUAGUAGUAGCAGUAUCCAGGAUACAAUUUGAAGCGAGGUAAGAACUGAAAUGGGAAUGGAAACUAGUGCAUUAGAAAAUGAGUUGUAAGACACAUACAAAUUGAGAUCUCAACCAAGUAAAAAUGGAGCAAACUAAGAUAAAAAGAGGUGUAUAACUGUACAUUGACCAAGAUCACAAGAACUCAAUUAACAGACAUAAGUAUUGCGAAUUCUAGACAUAGGUGUCACCCAAUCAAAGUUAGGUUACAAUGUGAAAAUGAAAAAAAGUAAUGAAUUUCUAAUAGAAUAAUAAGGGCAGAAAACAAUAGGAAACUUAAGAUUUUUUACAUAGCUCAUUAAUAUUAAAAUGUAAAUGGAAAAAUAAAAAAGCAUGGUAGCAAAAUGAAUUUCUCAAUUUCAGCCAGUCAGUAAAGUCAACGACAGGAAAGCGCAGGGCAAGAAAGAUCUAGAAGCUUCUCCAACUGGUGGACAGCAAGGCACUAUUCAGUUAGCUGAGAGUACGAGGGGCAUGUGAGGCAGCAGCUCCAAGCUCAUAUAAUUGAGUAGAAGUCUGAAAGGUGGUAUGACUAGAGAAUUUGUAUUUCUUUCCAGCUUUCAUACCUUGCAGGCAGUUGGUAUGACUGCUGGGUUAAGUGAGGCAUUUCUGGGUUACUAUUCCAGAGCCUCUUGAAACCCACGUGCAAUUUUGAAUCUCUGAAUAAAACUCACUUCUCUGCAACUAUUCAUUUUCAGUCUAUCAUCCAUCUCUUUUUGGUUCCUAUCUCUUUUUGGUUCCUUAUUCCAUCAGUCG